AAAUGAUAGUUUGAUAAGUAGAAUUAUAACGUUACAAUACUGAUAUGCUCAAAAAUCAAUAAGCGGUAAAUAAAAACACGCUAAUCCGCCUAAUUUUUCAUUAACUGCCAACAAACAAAUUCAAGCUCUUUUGCUGUCCAAGACCAAAACCAAUUACUUUCUAUAGCACUAAAACAAAAAAAAAAUUAAGAAAAAAAACAUCUUGCUAUCUCCGCCAACUCUAUCUUCUCCAUCUUCAGUUGAUAUCUAUCGCCAUCUCCGUCGACUCCAUUGCUCGGCAUCUCUCUCUCUCACUCUCGCAAUUCACAUCAACUCUCCUCAACUUUGAUUUCAAUCCACGAUUUAUAAGGUGUGUGUUCUGAUAUAUCGGGGGAAGGAUUCACAAGUACAGCAUAAUCACCAUAAAGGUUAGACACAUCUAUCGAUUUAUUCGCCUUUUGUAGCCUUUUGUAGCCUUUUGUAGCUUUAGUUUCUCGGUGAUUGACUGUAGAAAAUACGUUUUCAACUAUGAUGUUUAACUUGUCGUCAUUGCUGCUUGAAUCAUGUAUACUUGUUUGAACUGUGGCAAUGGACCUAACUAGGAUUGUAACAUCAAUGUUGGACAAGGCUUGGGUUCAUUUAUGCAGGAGUUGAUUCUGCAUACGAGAGGGGUCCUUGGAGUUUUGUUAACGCUGUUAGUAAAGUAGUAAAUAAAUAUAGUAAGGCAGUAAAUUAAGCAGUAAACAAGUUGAACAAUACAAUUGUUCAGCUUGGCAGAGAGUUGUUUGAUGGAAGGAUGGUUGCUAGAUCUAGGGUUUGUAUUCAUGUAAUCAUGGUUAUAAUGAUAUUGAGGUUAUUUGUUGCUUGCAAGAUAUUGUAAAACUCAAACAAUAACAAUAAUCUACAAGCUCUCGCAUGUCUA
Brassica napus (rape) is the source of this 901-nucleotide long non-coding RNA. RefSeq lists it as uncharacterized. The record is from RefSeq and is a predicted model, not a curated record. Lineage: Eukaryota; Viridiplantae; Streptophyta; Magnoliopsida; Brassicales; Brassicaceae. The transcript is spliced from 3 exons.